AUUCCAGUGUAGAGUGAAAUUCGUAGAUAUGGAAAGAACACCGGUGCGAAGGCGCAACCUGUCCUUUACUGACGCUGAGGCGCGAAGCGUGGGAGCAAACAGGAUUAGAUACCCUGGUAGUCCACGCUGUAAACGAUGUGUGCUGGAUGUUGGGGAACUUAGUUUCUCAGUGUCGUAGCUAACGCGAUAAGCACACCGCCUGGGGAGUACGGCCGCAAGGUUUGAAACUCAAAGGAAUUGACGGGGGCCCGCACAAGCGGUGGAGCAUGUGGUUUAAUUUCGAAGCAACGCGCAGAACCUUACCAGGAUUUGACAUGGGGAGGACCGGUACAGAGAUGUACUUUUCCCGCAAGGGACCUUCCGCACAGGUGCUGCAUGGCUGUCAUCAGCUCGUGUCGUGAGAUGUUGGGUUAAGUCCCGCAACGAGCGCAACCCUCGCCUUUAGUUGCCAUCAUUUAGUUGGGCACUCUAGAGGAACUGCCGGUGACAAGCCGGAGGAAGGUGGGGAUGACGUCAAGUCCUCAUGGCCCUUAUGUCCUGGGCUACACACGUGCUACAAUGGUGGUGACAGUGGGAAGCUAGGUAGUGAUACCGUGCUGAUCUCUAAAAGCCAUCUCAGUUCAGAUUGUACUCUGCAACUCGAGUACAUGAAUGGUGGAAUCGCUAGUAAUGCGUGGAUCAGCAUGCCACGGUGAUACGUUCCCGGG
This 707-nucleotide ribosomal RNA is filed under the name uncultured bacterium. RNAcentral describes it as "bacterial SSU rRNA". It matches the Rfam family "Bacterial small subunit ribosomal RNA", at positions 667 to 1378 of the family's 1533-position model. The record is from RNAcentral.